CGCAAUUUCCUCAAAGUUGAAAUUCCGCAUUUUCCGUAAUAAAAGGAUUUCAGUUUCAGUUUACGGUUCGUUAUCGGGCAGGGAAGUUAUGCAGAACGAUUUUUGAUUUAGAUUCAAUUCAAUUUCCACAGAAGAUGGCUAACAACAAAAUCGGUAGCAACAGCAGCAGCAAAAGUGAAGGAAAAUCAGAUGGAAAUGGUGAAGUCGCAGAGCCAAAAAAGACGUUAUAGCCUCCCGUCAAUUUAUUUGACUGGGCGCAAUCGUCUGUGCUAAGCUGGAUGGCUGGCCUUGGUGGCCCGGGAUCGUUGUUACUCUCUAAUGACUGUGGGCUGCCACCUCCGAGAAAACCGACUAGUUACUGGAUAUAUUUUGGUUCGGCGGCCAUCAAACCGUGUCCGAGAUUUAUUAAUUACAAAACGUUUUCCGACUUUAGUUCAAAAUUUUGAUUAACAUUCUUGGGAGUUAAAGCGGAUGCCGGCGGAAAAACUAAGCGGUUUUCUAGAUGACCGUUUGGCCAGCCUGUUAAAUCAAGCUUGUAACAGUCUCUAUGAAAGAGGAGUCUUGGAAGCCCUGCUGGUUUAAUACGACAACAAAUUUACAUUCCAAUUCUGGACAUCAAACGUCUUUAACUUUUUUAAAUCCAUAGGCACUCGCCUUUAUUAGAGAUCAGAACAAAUAAGUUAAAGGCACGGCUGACAAAUUGAAGAAUUGGGCCAUCAAACUCUUGGCGUCGUCAAAGAGCAACAACAGUCGAGAUGUGGUCUUGGACGAGUUCCCGGAAUGGCUGCAACGUCCCAUGGAUCGGAUCAAAGACAUCAAUACCAAGUUGAAGAGGAUCGCCAGUGAGAUUUUCGUUUCUUUAUUAGAUUUCUUCAGAUGAAACCGAUCAGCACAUUUGACAUGAAGGAUGCUCAAGGCUCCGCCAAACAUCGUCUGGUGUUCGUGGACUAACAUUCCAUAACUGAAUUUCAAUCCGCAAUUGGACGAGCAAGUCAUCAACAACGACCAUUCAGUUCGUCCAUUUCUAGUCUUCCGCUCAGCCGAGAGCCAUUUUUCAUCAAAUAUCCUUGGAUUCUUGAACAUAUCGUGGCCAUAAACCAACCUCUGCCAGGCAACUGGCAGGAGAAACACGACCGGAUGCUGUUUCAGCGCGAUACCCGAAGCAAGACGAAAACAGUUAAAGCUCCAGUCCAUUUGGAGCAUUACUCGAUCGUCCAGCUGACCUAGAAAACGGCCAAGAAGAAGAAGAAAUUGAGCAGCGAUCUCCGCUCGAGUUGGAAACUUUGCGAAGCCGUCGGCAGUGCUGACAAGGACAGCGACGGAAUUAGUGACGAAACGUGCGACUUUUCGCUACUCUGACGGAUCAAGCCACUUACGCCCGCCCCGAGCCGUUUCCGGAGUAUGUGUCGCAUUUCAAAAAAGCUGAAGUGCAAGAACGAUUACAUAAUCGCAGUUUAUCAGCGUCGUUGUCGAUUCACAUUUUUCAACCGAUGUUGAAGUUGGUCCGUGUCGUUGGCCCGAAAUAAGCCGUGGAUUUUUAUUUACUCUUCCAUUCAGUACGUUUCUCACCUUGUUUUCUUUUUUAAUGUAAUCAGGAAUGUAAACUAUAUUUAUCGUGACUGUUCCUGAACAAAGAAUACAAUUUGUUGUUGGAAAAAUUUGAAAUUGAUUUUACAACUGUGAGAGAUUUAUUUGGACGAAUGUAGUUAAUAAUCUAUUAAUCUGAAUCGAUUCCAAUAUCCAUGUCACAAAAGCCACCUCCGUAAUCACCAAAGUCGCCGUAGUAUCCUCCGCCGUAAUUUAUAUUUUUCAACCAUACGAACCGUAUCCGCCAUAAUACGGAUAUCCGAAGAUGCAUCUCCAAAGUAAUAAGGAUAAGCACGUCUCACAUACGGUCGGUGGUAUAGGGCUUCUAGAUAGCGCAGGGUUGAGUGGAACUGCUGGAACCGGCGGCGACUCCAGCAAUUCAGAUUAUUAUAGCUUCUCCGAGUUAUUCAGACUUCUCUGACGCAUCUUUUCCCACAUUUUUGGGACUAUAGAAAAAAUUUCUGUGUGAGGUUCGUCGGGUUGUCCAGGCUGAUGAGCUAUUUUCACGUCAACUUUUAAUCCGUUUUUCUGCUUUGAGGUGAAACCAGUGUGUCUCGAUCGGUCUUCAAUGGUUGUCAAGUCUUCCAGAUUCUGUUGGUCCUUUUCGACCGAUCGGCCAAGAACACAACAGCGCAAAAAGUACCAUCAAAUUACCAAAUACACACGAGUUAUCUGCAAUUAAAUCAACAAUUCAAGAUUGUAAAGCAAGUAUUGUAGCAUAGCAAGUAUUGUAAGCAAGUCCUCUUAUGCAGUAUAUGAGUAUUAGUA
This is a long non-coding RNA of Daphnia pulicaria, 2355 nucleotides long. RefSeq lists it as uncharacterized. The record is from RefSeq and is a predicted model, not a curated record. NCBI's taxonomy places the organism in Eukaryota, Metazoa, Arthropoda, Branchiopoda, Diplostraca, Daphniidae. The transcript has 5 exons.